Molecule: non-coding RNA, 1843 nt
Organism: Heterocephalus glaber (naked mole-rat)
Lineage: Eukaryota; Metazoa; Chordata; Mammalia; Rodentia; Bathyergidae
Source: RefSeq, a predicted model, not a curated record
UUGUGCUACUUCUGAAGCAGGUCUGGAAGUCCUCUUGUGUCUUAUUACAUAUGAUCAAAGAUAGGGUAAAUGGUGCUGCCAACUAGCUUCAAAGGAAAAGGCAGGCUCAUCAAAAUAUCACCAAUGUGUCCUCACCUACCUUAUUCACCAGAUCUGCCACCAUGCAACUACUGGUCUUCCCCAAAGUCAAAUGAUCAUGAAAGGUAAGCAUUUUGAAGUAUUUAAAGAGAUGGAGGCAGCCACACCACACAACUGAAGUCACUGAUGAAAGAUGACUUCCAGAACUGCGUCAGAAAGUGACAAGAAUGAUGGCAUAGUGUGUUUGCAGUGAGAAUAUUUUGAGGGAUAUUAAUGUCAAUGUUGCUUUUGCUGAAAUAAAGUUAUAGAAUAUAAAACAUCCACCAAAUGUUUUGAUCACACCUCAUAUUUACAUGUUACAAUUGAUUCUUAAAUACUUUAAAGUGAUGUUCAGAGGAGCAUAGUAAUCUAGCAAUGUGUAGGAUCAUCUGGGUUAGGGAAUAUUCUAAAGACAGAAUUCAGUUAGGACCAAGAUAGUGGAACCCAGCUUUAGAUGAGGAAGCCUAGACUAACAUGACUGCAAUAGGAAAAAUUCAAGGAAAAUGAAUGCAAAAAAAAUGUUUUAAAAUCCUGUAAAAUAUAAAAUGGAAAGAAUUCAACCUCUGAUUAAAGAUGAGAGAACCAGAAGAGGGAAGGAUUAAUGAUGUCAUCAAGGUUUUGGAAGAAGUAUGCAGGGACACUGUUAAUUCCACACACAGGUCUGCUUCUAACGCCCCCUGAAUCUAUUUCCCAACCACUAGAUAUUGGUAUUGUCUGCUAAGAUUUACCCUUAUACUCUUGUCUGGAGAAAUGCCCUCACGGAUUGUCCUCAGCAUGGAGCUGGAGCCGUCCCUCUCCCAGGUGCCAGGAAGAUUUCCCUUUUCCUCUGGGGGAGCGGAUAGCUGAUGACUGACUGAUACGCUUUUCUCGGUGCCUCAAGCCUUGGUUGGAGCCAGGGAGCAGACAUGGUGUAUGAUACACCACCCGAAAAUGUAAUCCAGACAGGCUCAACCAGAGACCGACCUCGGAACAAUGCCUGCCACAUCCAGCCAAAACAAAUUAUGGCAAUCAGAUGAUCAAGAAGUGAACAAUACUGUGUGGGGUCCAAGCCGGAGGGGGUGCUCAGCAAGCACGAGAUGAUCAAAUCGUCUGAGAGCUGAUGGAAUGCAAGCCUCAUCUGGAAUGGCUGAAUCUGUGGUGACCGUGCUUUCUGAACCUCAAAUUGGUCACACCAUUUAACAUGUAGGGGGUGUGCAACAGGAUAGAUUAUUUUAAAUCAGAACUGUUCUCAAAACUCUAAGACAUAUGGUUGUUCUGGCUAUAGGGGACGUUGCUUCAGAAAGGAAGAAAAAUUCUACAGGAGAUCUAAGGCAUGAUCUCUGAAGGAAAAAAAUAAGGGCUGGUAAUUUAUAAAACUCUAGCUGCUGGUACUGAAUAUCCACUGAACAAGAACAACUCUUGGUUCUCCCUUGCAUAAAUGGAGACAGCAUUUUAAAUCCAAAGGACUAUUACUUUCACAUCUGUUGGCAUCUAGUCAGUUUCUGUUUAAAGUACUCCCUGCACAAAAUGUGUGUGACUGCCAGUAUUAAUUAACUCCAUAAUUCUCCUGAAACCUGUAAAAUAAAUGCUUUCCCCUGAAGAGCCACUCUAACAUCAUUAACACCUUGCUUCCUCCCCUCUUUUCUACCAUCCCCACCAAUCUCAGGGUGGUUCUGAAAAAACAAUCAUUUUCCUUCCUAUUCAUAUGGACUCUUAAGAGCCUCUUUGAUUACAGAAGUGGAAUAAA